UGGGGAAUAUUGGACAAUGGGCGCAAGCCUGAUCCAGCAAUGCCGCGUGUGUGAAGAAGGCCUUCGGGUUGUAAAGCACUUUAAGCAGGGAAGAAAAAACUCGGUCUAAUACAUCGAGUCUUGACGGUACCUGAAGAAUAAGCACCGGCUAACUCUGUGCCAGCAGCCGCGGUAAUACAGAGGGUGCUAGCGUUAAAUCGGAUUUACUGGGCGUAAAGCGUGUGUAGGUGGUUGUUCAAGUCAGUUGUGAAAUCCCUGGGCUUAACCUGGGAACUGCUUCUGAGACUGAACGACUAGAGUACGGUAGAGGGUGGUGGAAUUUCCGGUGUAGCGUGAAAUGCGUAGAUAUCGGAAGGAACAUCAAUGGCGAAGGCAGCCACCUGGGCCUGUACUGACACUGAGACACGAAAGCGUGGGGAUCAAACAGGAUUAGAUACCCUGGUAGUCCACGCCGUAAACAUGAGAACUUGACGUCGGUUUGCUCUGCAAGUCGGUGUCGUAGCUAACGCGAUAAGUUCUCCGCCUGGGGGAGU
Molecule: ribosomal RNA, 533 nt
Filed under: uncultured bacterium
Lineage: Bacteria
Description: partial 16S ribosomal RNA
Rfam family: Bacterial small subunit ribosomal RNA
Source: RNAcentral